UACGUAGGCAGCAAGCGUUGGUCGGAGUUACUGGGCGUAAAGGGUGCGUAGGCGGUUGGUUAAGUUUGGUGUGAAAUCUCCCGGCUCAACCGGGAGGGUGCGCCGAAUACUGAACGGCUAGAGUGCGGGAGAGGAGAGUGGAAUUCCUGGUGUAGCGGUGAAAUGCGUAGAUAUCAGGAGGAACACCGGUGGUGUAGACGGCUCUCUGGACCGUAACUGACGCUGAGGCACGAAGGCGUGGGUAGCAAACAGG
Molecule: ribosomal RNA, 253 nt
Filed under: uncultured bacterium
Lineage: Bacteria
Description: partial 16S ribosomal RNA
Rfam family: Bacterial small subunit ribosomal RNA
Source: RNAcentral